Molecule: ribosomal RNA, 630 nt
Filed under: uncultured bacterium
Lineage: Bacteria
Description: bacterial SSU rRNA
Rfam family: Bacterial small subunit ribosomal RNA (bases 1-542)
Source: RNAcentral
CCUACGGGAGGCAGCAGUGGGGAAUUUGGACAAUGGGCGAAAGCCUGAUCCAGCAAUGCCGCGUGCAGGAUGAAGGCCUUCGGGUUGUAAACUGCUUUUGUACGGAACGAAACGGUUCGCCUUAAUACGGUGGGCUAAUGACGGUACCGUAAGAAUAAGCACCGGCUAACUACGUGCCAGCAGCCGCGGUAAUACGUAGGGUGCGAGCGUUAAUCGGAAUUACUGGGCGUAAAGCGUGCGCAGGCGGUUAUAUAAGACAGAUGUGAAAUCCCCGGGCUCAACCUGGGACCUGCAUUUGUGACUGUAUAGCUAGAGUACGGUAGAGGGGGAUGGAAUUCCGCGUGUAGCAGUGAAAUGCGUAGAUAUGCGGAGGAACACCGAUGGCGAAGGCAAUCCCCUGGACCUGUACUGACGCUCAUGCACGAAAGCGUGGGGAGCAAACAGGAUUAGAUACCCUGGUAGUCCACGCCCUAAACGNUGUCACUGGUUGUUGGUCUUCACUGACUACAGUAACGAGACUAACGCGUAGAAGUUCGACCGCGUACGGUAGGUACGGCCGCGACGGUAGAACGUACGAAAGAAGUAGACGGCGUCGAGACGUAGACCGACGGACGACGACGAGGGAGGAGG